GGGUUUAGUUCCUUAUUUGCGCCCCUUUCCUUUUUACUCUCAAACGAAAAACACAACAUCAUCUCCACUCUCUAGCCACUCAUCCACCCUUGUUCCUUCAUUGAAGAUCAGUCAUCCACCUUCAUCUCUGCAGGUAGUAUGUAAAGGGGAAUUCCAUGUUUUUUCCAAAGACAACCAUCAAAUGUUGAAUCAUCAUCUUCAAGUAGUAAACCGCUGAAAAUAGAUAUGGAUAAUCUUCCAUGGACUCCUUCCGAGAGAUUAUCGAGGAAUCUGGAAAAGAACUGAAGUCGAUAAGGUGCAGUGUCGCACAUGGAAGAUGACUAACCAAGAACCUUAUGAGUAAAAGAGAAAUUGAUUUAUGAUUUAUGAACGUGAAGGGCCCUUCAAAAUCCCAGUUCUUUGGGUUCAACUUUAUCCAGCAUUCGUUUAUCUAUUUGAUUGAUUUGUCACACACUUCAUGUGUUUGACGAAAUGUCUCAAUGAAAUUUCACACAAUUCGACAUAAGGGGAACCACACUAGCAUGGACCAAGCAUGGAAGGCUAACGGGUCAAGUUGAGGCAAGGAAAAUGAUACAAACACGGAUGCAUAUGGUAAGUGAUUUCCGCAAUCACUUCUUAGUUGUUUACGUAGAGUUAUGUGCUAGUUAAUUAAGUAUGAUAAUUGAGAACAAAUAAGAAUGGGUUGUAUGAAACUGAUGAUUUCCACUAAGUAGAUGUAACGGGUCAUAAAUGAGGUCUUAAUGUUAUAACGGAACGAAGAGUAAGGAAUGGCUACGGUAUGAUAACCGGGUAACGGGUAGAAUUGCGCAUAAGUGCGCUAAUGGGUAAACGGAAGUACGGAUAAUGUAAAAGUAUUAUGGCUACAACGUUCAUGUAAGUUUUGGGCUAAAACGAAUAUGUUGUUUGAUUAAAACAUGAAUGGGUCGAAUAAUUAUGCAUAAGUAAGGUAGCGGUAAUGAAAUUCGUAAAGAUUAAGGACCCGGGGCAAGGAUUCUUAGUCUAAAAUACAGGGAAAGGUUUUACGGACAAUUAGAAACAAGUUAUGUUGAUAUAUGCAUGAACGGGUCAAAAUUUGGUAAAAGGGUAAUAAGCCGAAGGCUUAAAAGUCAUGAAGUUAGGUAGUCCAAAUAUUGGAUUUUCACUCCAUGGAAAAUUAAAUUACGGUCGCGUAGGAAAAAGAAUCGGGUAAAACGGAUCAAAAACGAGAAAGUUAUGCUCGUUUCCGUGAAAUCGAGUCGUGCUGAGAAUUAUACAGCACCAGCUGCAACAUUCUGUCAAAACUAGGCCGUGGCGUAGCGCGACGGGGAAGGCCCCAGGCCGUAGCGCUACGCGAGCGGGUGUCAGUUUCGCGAAAAUCUUUUAUUUUAACCGUUGAUGCAUUGCGAACCCGUCUGGACCGUUUUUAAACGCGUAUAAGCUAAGAAUGACUAAUUUAUUCCUUGUUUUAGGAAGUGUAGACACGUAUGGAGGUAUGCAUGUAUAUAUGUAUGAAUAUAGGUUGUAUGUAUGAAUGAAGGUACGUUUGGAUGUAUGCAAGUAGGUAUAUAUAUGAGCGUAUGCACGUAUGUAGGCAUACGUGAAGAUAUGAAUGUAUGUUUGAAAGUAUGUAUGUAGGUGUGUAUGUAGGUAGUGUGUAUAUGUACGCAAGUGAGUAUGUACGAAUGUAUGCAUGUGUGUAGAUAUGUAUGUAGAUAUGUAUGUAAUGAUAUAGAUGUGGGUAUGUACGUAUGUAUGUUUAUAAGUAUGUGAGCAAGUAUACGCGGAUAUACGAAGGUAUGUAUGUGAGUAGGCAUGUAUGAGUUAGGUAUGUUGCAAGUAGGGAUGUAUGUGUAUAUAUAUGUAUAAUGCUAUGGGUGUACGUAAUGAUGUAAGUAUGGGUGUAUGUAGAUAUGUAUGUAAUGAUGUAGAUGAGUAUAUAUGUGGGUAUGUACGUAUGUACGUAAAUGGUUAUGUGUGAACAUAUAAAUAUGUAUAAGUAUGUAUGAAGGUAGGUACGCAAGUAUCCAAUGAAAUUGAGUACUAACGAUAAUAUUAGCGUGCCUGGUGAAUGAAGUGUAACGCAGGUACAGCGAGAAAGUCUCACCACGGAUUGUAUGAUCAGAUGGAAAGCUGGGAUGUAAAGAGUUAACGGAUCGAAAAGUAAACGUGAAUAAAUCUUGUAUGUUUAUAAUGUGUACUAAUGUUAUGAAUUUUAUGUGGUGAGCGCAGGUAGUACGAGUCAUGUGGAUCAUCAGGGAAUAGAGAUCGAGGAUCGAGUCACUAGUGAGAUUGUACGGAUCGUUGGUGUAUGUAAUGUAGUAAACUCAUGUUAUAUUUUUAAUCGUAAAUGAGUCGAUUGAUGACUUUCUGCGAAAGAGUUAUGUUAAAAAUGAAAUUUUAAGUAAGUCAAGGUAUUUAUAAGGAAAGAAAUUUUAUG
RNAcentral lists this long non-coding RNA (2416 nucleotides) under Helianthus annuus (common sunflower). Its description in RNAcentral is "hypothetical non coding rna". The record is from RNAcentral. Lineage: Eukaryota; Viridiplantae; Streptophyta; Magnoliopsida; Asterales; Asteraceae.